This 559-nucleotide unclassified non-coding RNA is filed under the name Hevea brasiliensis (rubber tree). The record is from RNAcentral. Lineage: Eukaryota; Viridiplantae; Streptophyta; Magnoliopsida; Malpighiales; Euphorbiaceae.
GCAAGUACUAAAAAUUUAAAAAGAUGAACAAUAGAAAAUCCAUUUCAAAUGACAAGGUUUGUGAAGAUGUCAAAAAUACAUCAUCUACUGAGGCUAUUUAGAAAACCUAAAGUUAUAACCAAGAAAGGAAUGCACACCAUCAACAUCACAAGAGAAUUAAACAACAAGAGCAAUUAAGAAUCCAUAGCAUUACAACUUAUGAAAAUCAUAGAUUAAUGAAAAAAAUGUGACAUAAGAUAGCAUCAAAACAAAUUUGUACAUAUGUGACAAAGGUCUGAUCAAAGAAAGUAUUAUAUAAUAGUACUUGUCCUAACCAAAAAAAAACAAAAGACUAAGCAUGAUUCUGAAAGAAUCGAUAAUAAUGUAAAAAGAUACAAAAUUGCUAGCGAUUUGACUAGAGAUAUGGACCUAAACAAAGAAUCACUAGAAAUUGCCAAUGUUUCUUAGAUAAAACAUUUGGAUAACAAGUUAGAACAGAAAAGGCAUUAUCGCAGAUACAACUAUGAAUUUUCUAGAUAGAAUCAUAGAAAAAAAUAAAAACUAAAUUAUUUUAAAAAAU